RNAcentral lists this ribosomal RNA (253 nucleotides) under uncultured bacterium. RNAcentral's name for it is "partial 16S ribosomal RNA". It matches the Rfam family "Bacterial small subunit ribosomal RNA", at positions 524 to 776 of the family's 1533-position model. The record is from RNAcentral.
UACGUAGGGUCCGAGCGUUGACCGGAAUUACUGGGCGUAAAGAGCUCGUAGGUGGUUUGUCGCGUUGUUCGUGAAAACUCACAGCUCAACUGUGGGCGUGCGGGCGAUACGGGCAGACUAGAGUACUGCAGGGGAGACUGGAAUUCCUGGUGUAGCGGUGGAAUGCGCAGAUAUCAGGAGGAACACCGGUGGCGAAGGCGGGUCUCUGGGCAGUAACUGACGCUGAGGAGCGAAAGCGUGGGGAGCGAACAGG